GGUGUUUUACUGUUUUUCAUCAUACGCUGUGUAGAGUAAAUAUCUUGUAUAGCCACCCUCUGCCUUUAUAACUACCUGACAGUGAGAAGACAUCUCUGCUAUAAGCCCCUGUAGCUGCUUCCUUGUUAUAAAGUCCCAGGAAUUUCUAACCAUCUCUUGUAGUGCAUCAUAAGGAAGAUUUUCCUCAUUCCCAUGAUUCCUCUGUAUCCACUGCUUCAUAAGAUUUCAUACAGCUUCAAUUGGGUUCAGAUCAGGAGAAUAUGACAGCCAAUCUAUAGAAGUGAUUCCACAUUUCUGAAGAUCUUGAUUCUUGAGAAGUCUCUGCUGCAGCAUGCUCCGGAGCUCCAUCUUGCAUCAAUUUCAACCCAGAAUUCAUUUGUAUCCAUCCAUGAAUGAGAGCGACUAUACAUUCGCGAUAGGAUGUCUAGAUUGAUUAAAAAGAUGAU
This 446-nucleotide small RNA is filed under the name Histoplasma ohiense. RNAcentral's name for it is "hypothetical lncRNA". The record is from RNAcentral. Lineage: Eukaryota; Fungi; Ascomycota; Eurotiomycetes; Onygenales; Ajellomycetaceae.